This 450-nucleotide ribosomal RNA is filed under the name uncultured bacterium. Its description in RNAcentral is "bacterial SSU rRNA". It matches the Rfam family "Bacterial small subunit ribosomal RNA", at positions 354 to 796 of the family's 1533-position model. The record is from RNAcentral.
GUGGGGAAUUUUGGACAAUGGGCGCAAGCCUGAUCCAGCCAUGCCGCGUGCAGGAUGAAGGCCUUCGGGUUGUAAACUGCUUUUGUACGGAACGAAACGGCUCUUUCUAAUAAAGAGGGCUAAUGACGGUACCGUAAGAAUAAGCACCGGCUAACUACGUGCCAGCAGCCGCGGUAAUACGUAGGGUGCGAGCGUUAAUCGGAAUUACUGGGCGUAAAGCGUGCGCAGGCGGUGAUGUAAGACAGAUGUGAAAUCCCCGGGCUCAACCUGGGAACUGCAUUUGUGACUGCAUCGCUGGAGUGCGGCAGAGGGGGAUGGAAUUCCGCGUGUAGCAGUGAAAUGCGUAGAUAUGCGGAGGAACACCGAUGGCGAAGGCAAUCCCCUGGGCCUGCACUGACGCUCAUGCACGAAAGCGUGGGGAGCAAACAGGAUUAGAAACCCUGGUAGUCC